CCUACGGGCGGCUGCAGUGGGGAAUCUUCCGCAAUGGACGAAAGUCUGACGGAGCAACGCCGCGUGAGUGAAGAAGGUUUUCGGAUCGUAAAGCUCUGUUGUUUGAGACGAAUGUGCAGACUUUGAAUAAGGGUUUGUAAUGACGGUAUUAAACGAGAAAGCCACGGCUAACUACGUGCCAGCAGCCGCGGUAAUACGUAGGUGGCAAGCGUUGUCCGGAAUUAUUGGGCGUAAAGGGAGCGCAGGUGGGAAUGUAAGUCAGUCUUAAAAGUGCGGGGCUCAACCCCGUGAGGGGAUUGAAACUACAUUUCUUGAGUGCAGGAGAGGAAAGUGGAAUUCCUAGUGUAGCGGUGAAAUGCGUAGAGAUUAGGAGGAACACCAGUGGCGAAGGCGACUUUCUGGACUGUAACUGACACUGAGGCUCGAAAGCCAGGGGAGCGAACGGGCUUAGAUACCCCUGUAGUC
RNAcentral lists this ribosomal RNA (465 nucleotides) under uncultured Veillonellaceae bacterium. RNAcentral's name for it is "bacterial SSU rRNA". It matches the Rfam family "Bacterial small subunit ribosomal RNA", at positions 338 to 795 of the family's 1533-position model. The record is from RNAcentral. Lineage: Bacteria; Bacillati; Bacillota; Negativicutes; Veillonellales; Veillonellaceae.